This 774-nucleotide long non-coding RNA is filed under the name Homo sapiens (human). RNAcentral describes it as "HSALNT0185616". Lineage: Eukaryota; Metazoa; Chordata; Mammalia; Primates; Hominidae. The record is from RNAcentral.
AAAACACCUAACUUAUGUGACACUGGCUUAAUACUUGAUUCAUUGGCAGUGAGUGGCAAGAAAAAACAUUACUGUUUACUGUAAAACAAGAUAGGGAGUGGCAAAACAUUCGAUAGCAGUCACCUGUGGUUAUGUGGGAGGUAAAUCACAUAUUUGAAAGUUUUGUAACUCUAGAAAAAAAAUAUAAUUGAAUAUAUUAAUGGUUCAUUUGACAAUUAAAAAAAUUGACUUUAGAAAAUAAUUGCCUACUGUCUAGCUAAAUAGCAAACAGAGGGAGAUGCUCUAAAAGAAAAUGAUAUUUAUUUGGGAGUAAUAUUGCAAUGAGAAUACAUGUGCCAUAGUAAAUUAUGUGUGUAUUCAGGGACAUUAGAAAAGACAAGGAUUUCUAAAAGAGGAAGAUUACAUAAUUGUUUUGAGAUAAUUAACCUUGGAUCCAAGGAUCAGGAACAAGGGUGACACCUGUCUAAGGUUAGACAAGGAGGUUCUGAGCAGAUGUCCUUGCAGAAGUAUCUUUUUGUGUAGGGUUGCAGUGGCCUUUGUGCAAUGUUGUUGUUUUGUAGAGUCUUUUCUGGUAGCUCUUGUUAUAAGUCGUAUUUACAUUAAGAACUCUCCCCUCAUGGCCUUCUCCAGCUCCAUUUGUCAGAGUUUUAACACAAGUGACUUCAUUUUGAUUCUGACAAUUUUAUACUACUUUGCAAGCAGGAAAAAAAUAUAUCAGAAAGAAGAGUCUAGAAACUUGAGAUUUUGCAGAGCUGGAAGAGGCAACUGCUUCUC